UGGAUUAAUGAUGACGAUUGGUAGCAUCUGAGUCUUGGAUGAUGAAUCCUACAGGUCUGGAAUGCUGAGCUCCAA
Small nucleolar RNA from Diceros bicornis minor, 75 nucleotides. RefSeq annotates it as small nucleolar RNA SNORD113/SNORD114 family. The transcript has a single exon. The record is from RefSeq and is a predicted model, not a curated record. Lineage: Eukaryota; Metazoa; Chordata; Mammalia; Perissodactyla; Rhinocerotidae.